This 78-nucleotide transfer RNA is filed under the name Moorena sp. SIO2B7. Its description in RNAcentral is "tRNA-Gln". It matches the Rfam family "tRNA". From Rfam's summary of the family: Transfer RNA (tRNA) molecules are approximately 80 nucleotides in length. Their secondary structure includes four short double-helical elements and three loops (D, anti-codon, and T loops). Lineage: Bacteria; Bacillati; Cyanobacteriota; Cyanophyceae; Coleofasciculales; Coleofasciculaceae. The record is from RNAcentral.
UGCCCUGUGGUGUAAUUUUGGCAACAUCCUAGAUUUUGGCUCUAGAGAUUCCAGGUUCAAACCCUGGCAGGGCAGCCA